RNAcentral lists this ribosomal RNA (488 nucleotides) under uncultured bacterium. Its description in RNAcentral is "partial 16S ribosomal RNA". It matches the Rfam family "Bacterial small subunit ribosomal RNA", at positions 29 to 507 of the family's 1533-position model. The record is from RNAcentral.
AUGAACGCUAGCGGCAGGCUUAAUACAUGCAGGUCGAGGGGCAGCAGGACUGUAGCAAUACAGUUGCUGGCGACCGGCAAACGGGUGCGGAACACGUACGCAACCUACCCAAAACUGGGGGAUAGCCCGGGGAAACCCGGAUUAAUACCUCGUAACCUUUUUAAGUGGCAUCACUUGAUAAGUAUAGCUCCGGCGGUUUUGGAUGGGCGUGCGCCUGAUUAGGUAGUUGGUGCGGGUAACGGCCCACCAAGCCUGCGAUCAGUAACUGGUGUGAGAGCACGACCAGUCACACGGGCACUGAGACACGGGCCCGACUCCUACGGGAGGCAGCAGUAAGGAAUAUUGGUCAAUGGACGCAAGUCUGAACCAGCCAUGCCGCGUGAAGGAUGAAGGUCCUCUGGAUUGUAAACUUCUUUUAUGGGGGACGAAACCCGGAUAUUCUUAUCCGAUUGACGGUACCUCAGGAAUAAGCACCGGCUAACUCCGUG